Molecule: non-coding RNA, 148 nt
Filed under: Gorilla gorilla gorilla (western lowland gorilla)
Lineage: Eukaryota; Metazoa; Chordata; Mammalia; Primates; Hominidae
Source: Rfam by way of RNAcentral
GCCGGGCGUGGUGGUGCACGCCUGUAAUCUCAGAUACUCAGGAGGCUGAGGUAGGAGAAUCGCUUGAACCCGGGAGGCAGAGGUUGCAGUGAGCCAAGAUCACGCCACUGCACUCCAACCUGGGUGACAAAGUGAGACUCCAUCUCAA